AUUGAACGCUGGCGGCAGGCUUAACACAUGCAAGUCGAGCGAGCGGCGGACGGGUGAGUAAUGUCUGGGAAACUGCCUGAUGGAGGGGGAUAACUACUGGAAACGGUAGCUAAUACCGCAUACCAUCAGAUGUGCCCAGAUGGGAUUAGCCAGUAGGUGGGGUAAUGGCUCACCUAGGCUACGAUCCCUAGCUGGUCUGAGAGGAUGACCAGCCAACAUGGAACUGAGAGACGGUCCAGACUCCUACCGGAGGCAGCAGUGGGGAAUAUUGCCCAAGGGGCGCAAGCCUGAUGCAGCCAGGCCGAGUGUGUGAAGAAGGCCUUCGGGUUGUAAAGCACUGUCAGCGAGGAGGCGUUACUCGCAGAAGAAGCACCGGCUAACUCCGUGCCAGCAGCCGCGGUAAUAC
RNAcentral lists this ribosomal RNA (406 nucleotides) under uncultured bacterium. Its description in RNAcentral is "partial 16S ribosomal RNA". It matches the Rfam family "Bacterial small subunit ribosomal RNA", at positions 30 to 526 of the family's 1533-position model. The record is from RNAcentral.